GUUUUUUUCAUGUAUAAGCUCCCUGGUUAUAUAUUGCAUUUUUAAUACUUCUGUCUCCCUUUCUAAUUCACCGCAAUGGACAUUAUGAAUUACUGCCUGGAGCUAUAUUGCCAGCGAACAUCAUCCCAGAAUACAAUAUGGCAAUACCGGAAGAGACGUUUGACGCUCUCCGACACGUCAAUUCCGGGUACACGAAAAUAAACGCAAACAGCCGAUUCAGCCAACACCUCCUCGGACCGGCGAUUUGAUUGGACAGGAGAUACACAGGGAGACCAAACACGGACGAACCGCCAGGUAUAAAACCGGC
Pelobates cultripes (western spadefoot toad) is the source of this 307-nucleotide non-coding RNA. The record is from the annotation of a GenBank genome assembly. Lineage: Eukaryota; Metazoa; Chordata; Amphibia; Anura; Pelobatidae.